Non-coding RNA from Delphinapterus leucas (beluga whale), 654 nucleotides. Lineage: Eukaryota; Metazoa; Chordata; Mammalia; Artiodactyla; Monodontidae. The record is from RefSeq and is a predicted model, not a curated record.
GUAUCCGCUCGGGCUUUCUCAGUCCUGUGGGCGGCGCUGGGCCACUUAAAAGGACCCUGGCCUGCCCGGGUCCUCUGGGAAUGACGCAAGAAAGUCAGGGUCGACUUGACUGCAGACAACACUCACGCGAAGAAAAAAACGGGGAAUGACGCCAAGUGGGACAACCAAAGGUGUUCAGUGCCUCCACAGCAGGCAGAGAGCUAAAAGAAGAAAAGAGACUGCAGGGAGAAAAUAGUUUUCCUGGUUGGAAAAGAUCAGAAGGAAGAUUCAUUUAGGAACGCAAGACCACAAGUAUCCUAUUGUUUACACACACCAGCCCUGAUAAGAUGUAGGAGGGGAUGACACCAGGGUGUGAAUGCCAGGAAGCAGUGAUCAUUGGAGGUCGGCUACCUCACUGAUCGCAGUUGAAGGUGAGUGCCGGUUGUCCUGAAAUGCUUGUAAAGGGGUUACAGGAUGCCUAGGGUCUCAGCGCAAGGAGGGACGUGGGAGCCUGAGUGUCCCUCCCCCUUUGUUUUGCAGCUGACGAAGCUGAAGUUUAGGGAUUUACUGGAGAGCAUGCAGCCACUCUAGUCAGGAGCCCAGGGUCUCAGUCUUGCCUUGGUCCGAGUGAGAAGGACCGCGCCUCACCCUCACCCAGCCUCACCCUCACCCAGC